GAUGAAGAACGUAGUGAAAUGCGAUAAGUAAUGUGAAUUGCAGAAUUCAGUGAAUCAUCGAGUCUUUGAACGCACAUUGCGCCCCCUGGUAUUCCGGGGGGCAUGCCUGUCCGAGCGUCAUUGCUGCCCUCAAGCACGGCUUGUGUGUUGGGCCCCCGUCCCCGGUUUCCCCCGGGGCCGGGCCCGAAAGGCAGCGGCGGCACCGCGUCCGGUCCUCGAGCGUAUGGGGCUUUGUCACCCGCUCUGUAGGCCCGGCCGGCGCCAGCCGACACCCAACUUUAUUUCUAAGGUUGACCUCGGAUCAGGUAGGGAUACCCGCUGAACUUAAGCAUAUCAAUAAGCGGAGGA
This 348-nucleotide unclassified non-coding RNA is filed under the name soil metagenome. RNAcentral describes it as "partial contains 5.8S ribosomal RNA, internal transcribed spacer 2, and large subunit ribosomal RNA". The stretch from base 1 to 120 matches the Rfam family "5.8S ribosomal RNA", at positions 35 to 154 of the family's 154-position model. The record is from RNAcentral.